UGAACGCUAGCUACAGGCUUAACACAUGCAAGUCGAGGGGCAGCAUGGAGUUGCUGCAAACUCUGAUGGCGACCGGCGCACGGGUGAGUAACGCGUAUCCAACCUUCCCUAUAGUAGAGGAUAGCCCGGCGAAAGUCGGAUUAAUACUCUAUGUUUUCCGUUGCAGACAUCUAAGAUGGAACAAAGGCUUGCCGCUAUAGGAUGGGGAUGCGUCUGAUUAGGUAGUCGGCGGGGUAACGGCCCACCGAGCCAUCGAUCAGUAGGGGUUCUGAGAGGAAGGUCCCCCACAUUGGAACUGAGACACGGUCCAAACUCCUACGGGAGGCAGCAGUGAGGAAUAUUGGUCAAUGGGCGAGAGCCUGAACCAGCCAAGUAGCGUGCAGGAUGACGGCCCUAUGGGUUGUAAACUGCUUUUAUGCGGGGAUAAAGUUCACUACGUGUAGUGUUUUGUAGGUACCGCAUGAAUAAGGACCGGCUAAUUCCGUGCCAGCAGCAGC
RNAcentral lists this ribosomal RNA (497 nucleotides) under uncultured bacterium. Its description in RNAcentral is "bacterial SSU rRNA". It matches the Rfam family "Bacterial small subunit ribosomal RNA", at positions 30 to 518 of the family's 1533-position model. The record is from RNAcentral.